AUUAAAGAAAAUUUUCAGCCGAUAAACUAGAGAAAGACUCAUAAAAGACAAACAUGCUUCCGGUCAAUACAAGUAAAGUGACACGGUAUAAAUAUGUCUAUUAUCUGGUGCACAUUCCCCCUCAAAGACUCGUCCUCUUCUGAGGACGACAAUGGCCGCUCGAUAUUUUGUUGCUGCAAAUGGUGGCAGGCUUGAUGCACAGGCCGUGGUGGAGAUUACUCUGAUUGCGGUGACACUGCUGGGCGGCGGAAUUCGUUAGUUAAACGAUGAAAGUUGAUCUCAGGGCUGGUUAAUGGAGUAUGAAUUUGUAGUAUAAUUAUAUUAGUUAAUUUAGGUUCGUACUAUUUUAGGACACCAAACCAAUAUAUUAUGUAGUCCAGUACGUUGUCAUAUAUAUAUAUGUUUAGAUCUCUCCAAAUGAAGUGAGUUAUGUGUUGGUUUUACCGUAAUAUGGUGUAUGUCUUCUUAUUUAUUCAUUUGUCCAUUUAUAUUUUUGGGAGUGGAUUUGGAGGGUUGUUGUUCGCUUUUGGUUGAGUUUUAAGGCAAUCCAACGAAGUGCUUGAG
RNAcentral lists this long non-coding RNA (564 nucleotides) under Olea europaea subsp. europaea. The record is from RNAcentral. Lineage: Eukaryota; Viridiplantae; Streptophyta; Magnoliopsida; Lamiales; Oleaceae.